ACAGUCACACAUUAGAUACCCCUGUAGUCCCAGCUGUAAACGAUGCAGACUAGGUGUUUGGACGGCCACGUGCCGUUCUAGUGCCGCAGGGAAGCUGUUAAGUCUGCCGCCUGGGGAAUACGAUCGCAAGAUUGAAACUUAAAGGAAUUGGCGGGGGAGCACCACAAGGGGUGAAGCUUGCGGUUUAAUUGGAGUCAACGCCGGAAAUCUCACCGGGAGCGACAGCAGUGUGAUAGCCAGAUUAAAGGUCUUGCUAGACGAGCUG
This 265-nucleotide ribosomal RNA is filed under the name uncultured archaeon. RNAcentral's name for it is "partial 16S ribosomal RNA". It matches the Rfam family "Archaeal small subunit ribosomal RNA", at positions 716 to 982 of the family's 1478-position model. The record is from RNAcentral.